Molecule: non-coding RNA, 23 nt
Filed under: Arabidopsis thaliana (thale cress)
Lineage: Eukaryota; Viridiplantae; Streptophyta; Magnoliopsida; Brassicales; Brassicaceae
Source: RNAcentral
UGAUGCUCUGAAGUUUAUGAUCA